RNAcentral lists this long non-coding RNA (1859 nucleotides) under Mus musculus (house mouse). Its description in RNAcentral is "long non-coding RNA chr16:72176232-72178091". The record is from RNAcentral. Lineage: Eukaryota; Metazoa; Chordata; Mammalia; Rodentia; Muridae.
AAUAUUAUAUCAAAUCCACUUUGGUACUUGUUGUCAAUGGACAAAUUACUGUGGAAUUAGGGUUUCAAAAUCAAAAUUGCUAAAUCUAUCCCAUCUAUAUUAAUAAGUAAAUUUCUACUAAGGCACUCUUUUGUCUUACUGGGGCUUUUGUUUGAUUUGGUGUUCUGGACCUCAAUCUUAGAGACUUGUGUAUGUUAGGCAAAGCUUCUAUCAUCAAACCUUAUUCCAAUCCCUGAAGGAAAUUUUUAUUUUAAAAAAUGUCAAUUAAAGGAAGAUAGUCUUAUCUCUAUGUAAGAUAUAAAAUACAUAAAUGAACUAUCUCCCUUCAAGUGAAAGAUUUUUUGAAAUUUAAUUUCAUUUUUAAUUUAUUUUUAAACUCCAUAUUCCAUUCCCUGCUCCCCCAACCACCCUCCCGACUGCUCCACAUCCUGUAACCCCCACCCGGUCUCCACAUGGAUUCCUCCCACACUGCCCCACCUGACCUCUAAACUCCCUGGGGCCUUCAGUCUCCUGAGGGCUAGGUUCAUCAUUUCUGACUGAACACAGACCUGGAAGUCCUCUGCUGUAUGUGUGUUGGGGACUGAUAUCAGCGGGUAUAUGCUGCCUAUUUGGUGGUCCAAUGUUUGAGAGAUCUCGAGGGUCCUAUUGAUCCUCCUAGAGAGUCGCCCUCUCCUCAGCUUCUUUCAGCCUUCCCAAAUUCAACAACAGGGGUCAGCUGCUUCCGUCCAUUGGUUGGCUCAAGAUAUUUGCAGUAAAUAUAUGCUUCACUCUACUUUUACCCUGGCAUGUUUGUGUAGAGCUGUAUGUUUGUCUUCCUCACAUUGCCCUUCAGACGUGUAGCUUUCAUUUGAGUACUGGGGUGAUGUAAAACAUGUGAUUUUUCUUUCUACCAGGGAUCACUUAGCUCUACAGUAAAAAUUGUAAGUAUAGUUUCAUAUUCAGUUUUUCAAAAGACUGCUGAUGAUAACUGCCACUGGUUUUUAACCUCUUCUCUUAUAUGUGUUAUUACUUACUACAAUAGUCCAAGAUAAGGAUGAGAGAAACUCCACCAGGAACUUAUCACUCAAAUGGCUGUCAAAUACCACAAAAAAAACAAUUAUUGGAAGGAAAGACACAGUGUUUAUUCACCAAAAGUUCCAGGAAGUAGCAGGUAUCAAAGGCCUGACUUGCUCUCCCAGGAGAUUUCUCUUUGCAUCUUACCUCCGAUAACGGAAGUUUGUCUGUUUUUUCUUUUUUUCAAAUCUGUGAUAUAAUUAUCCACAUCAAUUUAAGAUAGUUUAUUCACCAUGGCCUUUGUAUUUCAUUUUCAAUGCUAUGAUUGUGUGAUAGAAAGAGAAGUGAAUUACUGCAGAAUAUAAUAAGCAAAUCCAAGUAAGAAUGACAUAAAAUGAACACACACAGGGAUUGUGCCAGCAUGCAACCUCUCCCUGACAGGAACAAACUUUGGCUCUAAGUUUAUUCACAAAUGAAUGGAUCAGAAAUACGAGAUACCCCAUAAUGGUAAUUUAGACAUGGUACUGGAGUACACGCUCAGACACUUUAUAACUUUGUUGCUUUUGAACUCUGUAAAUAAACAUCUUUACUUAUGGUUUAUCUACUUUAGGCAUUUGUAUGUAAACCAGUUAUACUAUUUCCUCUUCCAAAGCAGAUCCCACCACCUUACCUAGCACACUUCUCUUUGCCUAGCCUCCUCUGGGUCUAUGAAUAUGGCUUGGUUAUCAUUUACUUAAUGGCUAAUAUCCCCCUUUUAAUUGAACACAUACCAUAGUUAUCUUUCUGGCUCUGGGUUAUAUCACUCAAAAUGACUAUUUUUAGUUCACUCUGUCUGCAUAUGUCCUAACAUUUUUUAACACAUGAGU